RNAcentral lists this ribosomal RNA (359 nucleotides) under uncultured Desulfobulbus sp. Its description in RNAcentral is "bacterial SSU rRNA". It matches the Rfam family "Bacterial small subunit ribosomal RNA", at positions 1024 to 1382 of the family's 1533-position model. Lineage: Bacteria; Pseudomonadati; Thermodesulfobacteriota; Desulfobulbia; Desulfobulbales; Desulfobulbaceae. The record is from RNAcentral.
GAAUCUGGAGACAGGUGCUGCAUGGCUGUCGUCAGCUCGUGUCGUGAGAUGUUGGGUUUAAGUCCCGCAACGAGCGCAACCCUUGCCUUUAGUUGCCAGCAGUUCGGCUGGGCACUCUAAAGGGACUGCCGGUGUUAAACCGGAGGAAGGUGGGGAUGACGUCAAGUCCUCAUGGCCUUUAUGACCAGGGCUACACACGUACUACAAUGGCCGAUACAAAGGGCAGCGACACUGCGAGGUGAAGCCAAUCCCGUAAAAUCGGUCUCAGUCCGGAUUGGAGUCUGCAACUCGACUCCAUGAAGUUGGAAUCGCUAGUAAUCGUGGAUCAGCAUGCCACGGUGAAUACGUUCCCGGGCCUU